CGACCACACCUCCAGGUGUGGCUAAUGGAAACGCUUUGAUCUGGCGACUGUGUUUACAGCCUGUCUCCUCGAGUUUUUUUUUGGGGGGGGGGAGAUACUCACUUGUUUUUAGAGAGAAGCUUCUUCAGCAGGUUUCUGCCGCAGAGGACGGCAGUGUAAUGCAGAGCCCGACAGCUGGGGCACCUCAGCAGAAGCAGGCCUCUGCCGGGGCAACUUAAAGCGGGAGGCCGCAGCCUCCACCACGCUCCCGCCCCUGCUGUUCCGUGAGACGGAGCCGCUCGGCUGGUGGCAACGGCUGCAACGGCUGCAACGGCUGCGGCUCCAUUUCGAACACCCCACAUUGAGAGCUCGGGGUUCUUUGCCCCAGAGUUCCAGGCCGACCGUCGGGUUAAACCGUUAAAGCAACGGCUCGCUCUUUGUCCAGGCCCUCGCUCCAGGCCUCAGCAAAACCACUCCUAAGAAGAAUCUACUUAUAUAGCGCCCCCAGUGGACAUGAGGCGCUUUUUGUUUCACGGAACGUCUGCAAACCCAGCCCCAAACGUCUGGAGACAAACGCAUCACACGGUGUGAAUUGUAGGCGCGCAGUCCUUUUUUACGAAAAUGUUUUGCUUUUACAGAAAUGCUAUAUUUUAAUGCGUGUCUGUUUGGUCUGUGAGCUGUCCAAAGAACUCCUGUUAGGAGAAAGUAUGAAACUUCUCCAUCUUCUGCUACCAGUUGUAUAAUCAAGUUGAUUCCUAUAUUGACCAUUUGGUGAUGUCCACAUGAACAGUCGUCUUUUCGAUUGCUCAAAAAAUGUGUUUGCAAGAAACAAAUUAUUGGCUCACAGAAUUCAGACAUGCCUAUCAGUAGUAGCCAGAGUGAUGGAGGAGAGCCGCAGCCCUCCUGACACUAGGGGCUCAUCUACGUGGGAGCAUUUCUUCCAUUUACCUUUGUAAUAGAUUUGCACCAUCUGCAGUUCCUGCUCAAAGUAAUCUUGUAUCAAGUUGGGAUAUGCAAGCAAGAAACCUGCUCUACUGCACCGGCUAGUUUCUUGUGUUAAACUAGCCUGUGAGGUAAUGGCUUAUUGAGUGGUAGAUAUGCAUAUACAGAGGGAUGUGGCCAGGAGAGAACCUGUGGAGCCAAGGAGAGGCUUGCAUUUUUAGUUUCGUCUUGUGGAUGAAGCUGGAAAGACUCAGAGAGGCCUGCUCCCUGCACGAUGGCUUCAGGAUGCCUCCUAUAAGCUUGAUAGCAAAGCAAGAUCUAUUGGACUGCUAAUACUUUAAACCCCCUCCAUCUUAUGCUCAGGCUGUGAAUGUGCAUCAAUAAACCACAUAUUAUAAAGACACCAUAGUCUCUGCUGACCUUCUUGCCAAGGAAACCAAACCAUGGGUAAGCAGAAGAACUUCUGGAAGUCUUGCACCACUCAGAGAUUGGGGUGGCACAUAACAAUAUUUAUCUAAUUUCUACUAAAUAACAGAUAAAAACAGCAAUCACUAAAAGCAGAAUGCAGCAGCAGCUCAUUAAAUCACAUUAACCAAAUGGAUAACCCACUGUAGGCUGAAAAAUAAAAGUGUUACACUUUCAAAAAAGCAGGACAGAGGAAUAUCUUCUGGUAUAUGGUUCCACAAUUAAGAAAUCAAACUGGGUAAGGUCUGGCUCCUAACCACAGAUGUCCUAACCUUGCAAAGAGGGCCCUGGAUUUGGGAGCAGGGCCCAAUCUGCUGACCACAGUUGACCCAGGAAUUAAUAUAGAUAAAAGUAAUCUCAUAAUUUGCACAAACCAAUGCAGAUUAAGUUCCACAUAAUCUCAAAUAUGUCUGCAACAAUUUAUACAAGCUGCAAAAGAAAAUUAUUUUACCUUCCACUAGUCUUCUUGCAGAUGCUAGCAUUAAGGCCAUGCCUAUGUCUGCUGUAGAGUCAGAAACAGCAUGUGGAGUGUUGGUUACUUUUACUCCAAAGCUAGAGAUCAUUUUCAAAUCAAAAUGAUUCACUCCCACCCCUGAAUUUCCAACCACUUUUAAACUGGGCAGGCUUUCAAGAAGCUCUCGGUCAAUGAGAGGUCUGCAGUCAAAUACAAAAAUAGACUUGAUCUUGUUACAAAGUUCUUCCUUGCUUCUGUGAAACUCUUUCAUGGUGAUGAGAUUAAAGCGUUUCUUAAGGAACUCCACAUGGCUUUCCAGUACACCAAAUGCACCUCCAAUUUCAAAGAUCAAAACACCAGGCAGUUCUUUGUCUCCCAUGAUCUGAAGAGAAAAAAAAAGAGAGGAAUGAUGAACAAUGUUCAACUGAAAGCAGAAAGCAAGUGUUAGGGAUAAAUUGAAACCCCCAGUGCCUGUAAAACUAUAAUUCACUUGUCUUACCUAAACCAGCUUGGGCUUCAUGGGAAAUAGAACCAAAGUGGCCUUUAUAUGACUCUUGAUAUAAAAUGUCGGUUUAUUUCCUGGUGACCUGACCCUUACCUACAUUCCAGUGGCUCGCAUAAUAAAAGCCGGUUUAAGCUGGAAACUUCCCUACUAUGCAUUUCUGUAUCACAUUUAUGCUUAUGGCCUUGCUUAUUGUUACAAACGCGCCUUGCAUAGAAAUGUCAAAUGCUAUUCCAAUGCCCCUCAUAUCCUUGACUUGUAAUACUCCUUUGAUAUGUAAGCAGAGUAAUAUUAUGUCUGUCUCCAGUUUAGGGGGCGCCCGGUUGCAGCUGGGCCUCCCCUCAAUAGUUGCCUUUGUCUGUUCCUGCAUAGUGCUUAUCUCAAGGACAUGCGAAAUAUGCAGACAUAGAGUCUAAGAGAUAGUCUUGAUGUUUCUACUUUGUCCUUCCCCCUGUACCCUUUACCUCCUUACAUAUGCCCCAAAGCUAUGACAGUUGGCAAUUGCUUCUUUGUAUCUUAUGACGUGAACCCGAUAUUGUAAACUUCGGGGU
This is a long non-coding RNA of Rhineura floridana, 2893 nucleotides long. RefSeq lists it as uncharacterized. NCBI's taxonomy places the organism in Eukaryota, Metazoa, Chordata, Lepidosauria, Squamata, Rhineuridae. The transcript is spliced from 4 exons. The record is from RefSeq and is a predicted model, not a curated record.